RNAcentral lists this ribosomal RNA (468 nucleotides) under uncultured bacterium. RNAcentral describes it as "partial 16S ribosomal RNA". It matches the Rfam family "Bacterial small subunit ribosomal RNA", at positions 28 to 507 of the family's 1533-position model. The record is from RNAcentral.
GACGAACGCUGGCGGCGUGCUUAACACAUGCAAGUCGAACGGAAAGGCCCUGCUUUUGUGGGGUGCUCGAGUGGCGAACGGGUGAGUAACACGUGAGUAACCUGCCCUUGACUUUGGGAUAACUUCAGGAAACUGGGGCUAAUACCGGAUAGGAGCUCCUGCUGCAUGGUGGGGGUUGGAAAGUUUCGGCGGUUGGGGAUGGGCUCGCGGCUUAUCAGCUUGUUGGUGGGGUAGUGGCUUACCAAGGCUUUGACGGGUAGCCGGCCUGAGAGGGUGACCGGCCACAUUGGGACUGAGAUACGGCCCAGACUCCUACGGGAGGCAGCAGUGGGGAAUAUUGCACAAUGGGCGGAAGCCUGAUGCAGUAACGCCGCGUGCGGGAUGACGGCCUUCGGGUUGUAAACCGCUUUCGCCUGUGACGAAGCGUGAGUGACGGUAAUGUGUAAAGAAGCACCGGCUAACUACGUG